This 24-nucleotide non-coding RNA is filed under the name Arabidopsis thaliana (thale cress). Lineage: Eukaryota; Viridiplantae; Streptophyta; Magnoliopsida; Brassicales; Brassicaceae. The record is from RNAcentral.
UAGAUUGUCCUGCUAUGGGGUGAU